GGCUAUAGCUCAGGGGCAGAGUGCUUGCCUAGCACGCAUGAGGCACUGGGUUCAAUCCUCAGCACCA
RNAcentral lists this transfer RNA (67 nucleotides) under Marmota monax (woodchuck). RNAcentral's name for it is "tRNA.Ala". Lineage: Eukaryota; Metazoa; Chordata; Mammalia; Rodentia; Sciuridae. The record is from RNAcentral.